CUAACUGAAGUCCAACUCUAGUAUUUCGAGAAUUUACUUCCUUACAUCCUCCCCACCUUUAAAAGAGUUUCGUCCUCGAAACGAACUCAAUUCUUAAUUAAACUCGAACUUAAUUCAUACCUUACUCACGCCUCAAAAAGAUGAGGGUACUUCGCUUUCAUUCCGUCCUCAAGUUCCCACGUAGCUUCGCGAUCGUUAUGCUUGGUCCAUCGAACCUUGACGUAGGGAAUUUCGCGAUUUCGCAACUUUCGUACUUCUCGAGCAAUAAUCAACGCCGGAUAUCCUUAUAGCUCAAGUCCUCGCGUAAUUCCGGCGGUUCAUAUGAU
RNAcentral lists this long non-coding RNA (326 nucleotides) under Ananas comosus (pineapple). RNAcentral describes it as "long non-coding RNA (ACOM_LNC002288)". The record is from RNAcentral. Lineage: Eukaryota; Viridiplantae; Streptophyta; Magnoliopsida; Poales; Bromeliaceae.